AGAUCUCUAUGGUUGUCUAUUAGGGGUGUGUGGUAUCUAUAGAUCUCUAUGGUUGUCUAUUAGGGUUUAUGGUGUCUAUAGAUCUCUAUGGUUGUCUAUAGGGUUUAUGGUAUCUAUAGAUCUCUAUGGUUGUCUAUUAGGGGUUUAUGGUAUCUAUAGAUCUCUAUGGUUGUCUAUUAGGGUUUAUGGUGUCUAUAGAUCUCUAUGGUUGUCUAUUAGGGGUUUAUGGUGUCUAUAGAUCUCUAUGGUUGUCUAUUAGGGGUGAAAGACGAACUACUGCGAAAGCAUUUGCCAAGAAUGUUUUCAUUAAUCAAGAACGAAAGUUAGAGGAUCGAAGACGAUCAGAUACCGUCCUAGUUCUAACCAUAAACGAUGCCGACUAGGGAUCAGAGAGUGUUAUUGGAUGACCUCUUUGGCACCUUAUGGGAAACCAAAGUUUUUGAGU
This 445-nucleotide non-coding RNA is filed under the name Nematostella vectensis (starlet sea anemone). RNAcentral's name for it is "Eukaryotic small subunit ribosomal RNA". It matches the Rfam family "Eukaryotic small subunit ribosomal RNA", at positions 636 to 1112 of the family's 1831-position model. The record is from Rfam by way of RNAcentral. Lineage: Eukaryota; Metazoa; Cnidaria; Anthozoa; Actiniaria; Edwardsiidae.